Long non-coding RNA from Oncorhynchus tshawytscha (Chinook salmon), 1389 nucleotides. Lineage: Eukaryota; Metazoa; Chordata; Actinopteri; Salmoniformes; Salmonidae. The record is from Ensembl.
UGUACCACAUAUUUAUUUCAAAUCUUAAUUACAACUGUGCUUUUCCAUGAGACUGGACUGUGGGAGUGAUUGAACUAUGGUAGAACAUGAUGCGUGUGUGUGUGUUUGUGUGUCAGCUUAGUGCCCUUGUUGUUGUGCAACCAUGGUGUCAUCCUGGUGUCACAGUGCCCUCCCUGUAUGGCCAACAUUUCUCAGUGUGCAGAAAGGCACACAACACCGUGGAGGAUGCGAUGAUAGGAGCAGUGACCUCUCAACGUCCUAAUGAUAGGACCAUAUGAUCAUAAAAACUACACUCGCAUUAACCUUCUGAGAUCUGAAGACUGACUUGUGUUAGCUUCUUGAGCUAAUGCCUAGGCAGUCUUGAGUUGUGCAACCCAAGUUUGAAAAAGUGACCGGUAACAUCUGAGGGUGCAGGUCCUACUUUUAAAAUGGGGAAAUAAUGUGAAGGAGAGAUGACAGUAUCUGCAGCUAGAAGUCACUAGGUUUGCAACAUUCUGGAAACUUUCAAUAAAUUCCCUGGUUUUUCCAGAAAUCCUUUUUUUGUUGCACUUUUCCAAAAAAACAACAACUGAAAUAUCACAUUUACAUAAGCAUUCAGUCCCUUUACUCUGUACUUUUUUGAAGCACCUUUGGCAGCGAUUACAGCCUCGAGCCUUCUUGGGUAUGACGCUACAAGCUUGGCACACCUGUAUUUGGGGAGUUUCUCCCAUUAUUUUCUGCAGAUCCCCUUAAGCUCUGUCAGGUUGGAAGGGGAGAGUCGCUGCACAGCUAUUUUCGGGUCUCUCCAGAGAUGUUAGAGCGGGUUCAUGUCCGGGCUCCGGCUUGGCCACUCAAGGACAUUCAGAAUCUUGCCCCGAAGCCACUCCUGCAUUGUCUUGGCUGUGUGCUUAGGGUCGUUGUCCUGUUGGGAGGUGAACCUUCGCCCCAGUCUGAGGUCCUAAGCACUCUGGAGCGGGUUUUCAUCAAGGGUGUCGCCCAUCUUCCCCAAUAUCCCCAGUGUAUUUAUACCUGUGUUUUCUGUCUGUCUGUGCCAGUUCAUCUUGUUUGCCAAGUCAACCAGCGGUUUUUCUCUUAGCUCUCUGUUUUUCCUCUUCCUCCUGGUUCUGAACCUUGCCUGUCCUGACUCUGAGCCCACCUGCCUGACCAUUCUGACUGCCCUUGACCUCGAGCCUGCCUGCUGCCCUGUACCAUUUUGGAAUAUGACCUGGUUAUGAACUGAACUCUUGCCUGUCCCCGACUUGCCUUUUUCCUACUCCUUGGAUUAUAAUAAAUAUCAGAGCUCAAGCCAUCUGCCUCCCGUGUCUACAUCUGGGUCUCGCCUUGUGUCGUUAUAUCUAAUUAACAAUGACAUUCUUUUCAAUUAACUCUGCAACUCUUCCAACGAUUGAC